CGAUCAUACCAGCACUAAAGCACCGGAUCCCAUCAGAACUCCGCAGUUAAGCGUGCUUGGGCGAGAGUAGUACUAGGAUGGGUGACCUCCUGGGAAGUCCUCGUGUUGCAU
RNAcentral lists this ribosomal RNA (111 nucleotides) under Agave tequilana. The record is from RNAcentral. Lineage: Eukaryota; Viridiplantae; Streptophyta; Magnoliopsida; Asparagales; Asparagaceae.